This 253-nucleotide ribosomal RNA is filed under the name uncultured bacterium. RNAcentral describes it as "partial 16S ribosomal RNA". It matches the Rfam family "Bacterial small subunit ribosomal RNA", at positions 524 to 776 of the family's 1533-position model. The record is from RNAcentral.
UACGUAGGGGGCAAGCGUUGUCCGGAUUUACUGGGCGUAAAGAGCGUGUAGGCAGCCAAGCAGGUCCGUUGUGAAAACUGGAGGCUUAACCUCCAGACGUCGACGGAAACCGCGUGGCUAGAGUCCGGAAGAGGAGAGUGGAAUUCCUGGUGUAGCGGUGAAAUGCGCAGAUAUCAGGAAGAACACCAAUGGCGAAGGCAGCUCUCUGGGACGGUACUGACGCUGAGACGCGAAAGCGUGGGGAGCGAACAGG